RNAcentral lists this long non-coding RNA (11195 nucleotides) under Nicotiana benthamiana. RNAcentral describes it as "long non-coding RNA (NBEN_LNC036956)". Lineage: Eukaryota; Viridiplantae; Streptophyta; Magnoliopsida; Solanales; Solanaceae. The record is from RNAcentral.
CUCCAAAAUAAAUAGUGCAAAUUCAAACUCCAAUUAUUUUACUGAUCAUUUCUAUGAUAUAGAGAAGCCGUGAUGGUCUACCAAGAAUAAAGUAGUAAUUACACAUAGCUAAUCUUAAAUUACAAUUUUAUAAACAUAUGUGUCGUCCUUCCUCCCGUUCCUUCUUCUAGAAUUCUCUUUCACUAUUACUUUGCUAAUCAUCUGCCAUUUGCUAAUGAGUUCUAGCCACAAUUAUCUGCCAUUACUAGUAGAUCUUCCUUGCUAACCUUCUUUUAUCCUUAAUAUCUUCUUUCAGGAAUUUUACUCUUUUUUUUUCUCUAAUCAAAAUUUGGACUCAACUCUGUGAUUCACAAUUGGGGAUAAACUUGUCUGCUGCUUCUUGCUGAAUGAACUCUUGGAGCAGCAAUCGUCUACCAGGAUGGAGUAUUCUUUGAGCUUCGAACUGCUUGACGGGAAUAUUGAGGUAUAACCUUUCAGUUGUUAUUUUUGAAGGGUUUAUAUGUUAUUUUUUCCUUUUUAAUUUAUCAUAAUUAGUCAGUCCAUGGUCGACUCUCUGCUAAUUUUGAGGUAGAACUUUUUUAAGGUUUAAAAUAAGUGAAAUUUACUAAUCGAUGAUUUAAAAAUUUGAGAUAUAACCCCCUUUUAGAUUUUUGUUUGUACUGUCGGACUACAUUGCCCAUUGAUUUCUCAUCUAGAUAGAGUUAUCUAGUAAAUGUGCUCGUGUGACGUAGCAGGUAUCCCAUAAAAUUAGUCGAGGUACACACAAGCUAAUCGGAACGCCAUUGUUAUUUUUUUAAAAAAGAACUUGAAGUUGCUACUUCCUUUAAGAUUUGUAUGCUACUCAUUAUUUGUUGACAAGGCGCCCAUAGCUGCCACCUUCUGAUCUUGUAUAUGAAACUCCCCCAGGAAGCGAGCCUAAUAUUUGAAUCUUGAAGACUGAUUUACAAAUGGAACUGAGUUAUCACGGCUCUUGAAUAGAUCAAGCAAAGGUAGAAUGGAGAUCUUUAAAAAAAAUGCUCAAUGACACUGCAAGUAAAAUAAAAUAAAAUAAAUAACAUGAAGAAAAUAUUAGCCAGUACCUUUGUCAUUCAUGUAAUUUGGUAUAGUUAGCAUAACUGAGAUGCCUCAACUGAACUGUAUGCUACAUUUGCUGAUGGCUAUUUAUUUAGAUGCCCAACUAAAAUAAGAUAGAAAUACUGUAAAGCUAAAGUGGUCGACCAAGGGUAAUUUUGACAUUUCAAACCUUAGGUAGAAUUGAAAACCCCCUCAUUCAUUCUCUGUUUUGCAUUUUGUAUCUCUCAAAUUCAUUUUUACAUUCUUCAUCUAGAGUAUUCUAAGUUCAGAGUCCCUGAUAGCCCCAUCUAGCUUUCUUCUUCGUCGUCUUCUUUUAGAGAGGUAAUGAUUAUCUCUCUGCUAUUUACUUAUAGUUAUAGAUUACUGAAGUUCAAAGAUGUGUAUUUCUAGCCAAGUUGGUGGCUACUGCUCCAGUUAAACUUGGGGAAAGAAACAGUGAGAUCAUUUCGUGACAAUUUGAGAGUUUCCAAAUUGGGUAGGAGGAAAGGUACAUGGUUAUAAAUUGAUUAUUUUACCAUGGGAUCUUUUUUCAAUUUGUGGUUAUGACAAUGAAGCUAACUUCCUAUAGGUCCUUUUAUUGAUAAAUCAAAGGAGUAGGGCUUCAAUUUUGUUUGCUUUAUCUUUUUGAGCAAUUCAAUAACUCCACAUCAACUGUAUCGAGUGACAUUUUCCAUUCAAAUAUAAUUAACAAAAGAAUUCAAAAAAGAUUGUAUUGUACAAUUUUGUUUCACCAAUAUUUCUUGAGUAGAUGCUCUUAAACCGUUUGAUACUGUAUAUGCUCAUCAUUCCAAUAUAUAUCAUUUUGCACAGUUGGUUAAACAAUCCAAUUCACUGAAAUUGAAUCAUCCUAAAGAAUUUAGUGUUUGACUGAAAGGAAUGGAACUUGGGCCUAACUCAGAGGUGAGGAUUGCCCAAGCCAUAUAAGGAGACCAAGGACCUCAAAUCCCUCCGAUGUGGGACAACUCAACGGAAACAGUUCCCGUUUCUACAUAACAACCGUUUUUCAAGUCGAGUUUAAUAUCGAGGUGGCUUGUAUAGUUUUCUGGAGCGUGGACAACAUAAAUGGGGGCCCAACAUCGAUAACAAAUUGGGAUGAGCUGGCUCUGAUACCAUGAAAAGAAUGGACCUUGGGCCUAACUCAACCCUAAAAGCUAGCUUAUNNNNNNNNNNNNNNNNNNNNNNNNNNNNNNNNNNNNNNNNNNNNNNNNNNNNNNNNNNNNNNNNNNNNNNNNNNNNNNNNNNNNNNNNNNNNNNNNNNNNNNNNNNNNNNNNNNNNCUAAAAGCUAGCUUAUGAGGUGAGGAUUGCCCAAGCCAUAUAAGGAGACCAAGGACCUCAAAUCCCUCCGAUGUGGGACAACUCAACAUUGACUUCUUGUUUGGAUAAACUAUUAGAUAUUGAUUAUUGCUAUAGUGAUAUCAGAAAUUAGUACAUUCAUUCCAACCUUCAUGGUUGGCCUGGUGGCAAUUGACUUGAACCUUGGGGUUUGCUCUGUUUCAAGGUCUCAAGUUCGAAAUAUACUGGGUGUAAAUAAUUUCUGAGGGCCAUCAAACUAGAUAAAACCUGAAUUAACCGUUGUGCACUUGUUGGAAAUUCUUUGUCGAGGGCCUGUGCACCCCCGGAUUAGUAGGGCUCGAAAAGACUCGGGCACCCAGUGCAAAUAAAAAAAGUAGUACAUUCAUUUUUCAAUUGUAUUUUCAGGUAGGUGACAGUUUCAGUUUUAUGUCAGAGUUUCGUUUACGUUAUAUACAGAUAUACCUUUCUAUAGUAGCAUAAAGAGGGGUGACAAAAGGUUAUCUUUUAUUUCCUAUUUUUUCUUAGUUAAACGACUGUAAUUUAUAUUAUUUUACUCUGAUUUGCUUUACAGUUCACGUCUCCAAGUAUAGGUGAAUGUUACUCAAAAUAGUUCUCAUUUUGCUAAAUAGAUAUUAAACCCCCAUGAGUUACUCUUAAGGGUUCAAUUACUUUGUCUUUUACCUGAUCCAUUUAUAAUUGACCAACUUUUUACUACAUGGGAAUAUUACUCAAAAUAGUUCUUAUUUUGCUUAAUAGAUAUUGAGCCCCCCACGAGUUACUCUUAAGGGUUCAAUUACUUUGUCUUUUACCUGAUCCAUUUAAUUUGUGUUAGGAUAUUUUAUGACAGGUAUGGAUUUUUGUAAAGCACUCUACUUACUACUUAUUUCUGUGUGUGCUAAAAAAGGAAAUUUCAAUUUGUGUCCUCCAGUUUGUAUGGCUUCUAUAUUGUUAAAACUGAAUAUGUGGUUGUGGGCAGACUUAGGGAUACAAAAGAUAUAUAAAUAAUGAAAAGAAGUGGAGAAGGGGAAGAGGAUCGAGUCUAUGGUUGGGGAGAAGAUAGUCUUGGCAACCAAGGGCAUCAUUUACUUUAAAAAGACUAGAUGUAAUGCUAAAAGUUUUUAAACAAUCAUACAGCCUUGGCCUAUUUUACAAAUAAAAUUUUCAAUCGCUUAAUAAUGUGGUGUAUACUUAAUUCAAGAUCCGUGUAUUGUGGUACUUGGAGCAAGCAGAACGGCAAGACAAAUUAAAGCGAGCUGGCAAGACCAAAGUAAACUGGCAAGAUCAAGUAGAGCAAGCUACUUAUGAACUGUUAGAGUCUUGCAUUUCUUCCUCCUAUAAGAAAUACUUAUUAUACUUCAAACGAUCUAAGAGAAGUAGAGUUGUGAGACACUUGAUGUAAAAUUUAUGAUUGUGAAGAUCAGUAUACGUGUAUUGUGGUACUUGGAGCAAGCAGUCAGGAACUUAAACGGCAAGACAAAUUAAAGCGAGCUGGCAAGACCAAAGUAAACUGGCAAGAUCAACUAGAGCAAGCUGCUUGUGAACUGUUAGAGUCUUGUAUUUCUUUCUCCUAUAAGAAAUACUUAUGAUACCUCAAACGAUCUAAGAGAAAUAGAGUUGUGAGACACUUGACCUAAAAUUUAUGAUUGUACAUGGUUUACUUGCUUCUUAUUCAAUUUGUUGCCGCAUCUUCAUAUAUGAUCUUUUGCUCACAAAAGCAAUAGGAAAAUUUUGAAAAUAAAAUAAAAGACUAUUGCUUUCAGUUAACUUAUAUUUAUAAUGAUUGUACAAAUCUAACCAAUUUGAUUCUAUACAUGCGGGAAAUACAAACUAUUAAGUUUAUUGUUUGAGACAUAGAGUUGAAAUAGAGAUGACUUCUCAUAUGAAAUCAAGCAAACUUAAGGUCCAGCCCUUCUUAGCAUACCGCAAGAUAUUGAUAGGUUUAAAUUGAAACGGUAACUACAGUAUUGAAUAGGAUGAUAUCUUUAUAUUUGCAUAAACCUUAUACUUAUUCUUAUCCAUCAUGAUAUAAAAGACAAGCCCUCCACACUUUUUUCGCGAUGUUGUGGAGUUGCGAAUAGUUUUCACAUUUAUGGAGUCGUCAAGUAUAAACUUCUAAUGCAGGUUGCAGAUGCUUCAGAAUAUAACUGAUGUACAUAUUCAGCUUCACCCUUAUGGAUCCUUGAAACACGGACUUCAGUGACUAUAUUCAAGAUAUGAGAUGUAAGGUUAGAUAUUUUUUUACUUCAAAAACUUCAUAAGUUACUCAUGGCACUCCUCUGGAGUUAUACAAGUACUAUUACUAUUUUCUUUUCUUUUCGUCUCUGUGCUUUUUGUCCCCUUUUUAUUGUCAACCUCCAAAGCUUAUGUUGUAAGAUUUGAUGGUCAUGCAAGUAUAAUGCUAUUUCUUUCGAAUAAGAUAAUUAUUUCUUAGCAAUGAAUAUGUUGUUAUGAAUUAAACUUUUGAUUAUCCUUCUUUUAUCAACAUAAGUAGGAUGUAUGAUUAAAAUUAUAAGUGAUAUGUUUAGUUUAUGUGGUGAUACUAUAAGAUUGCAGCUCAAGAUGGUGUUAAACUUUUUGACUUGUGAGAACUUCAGAUAUUUUCUUUCUUUUUAUGAGAAUAUAUCAACUAUAGCCAACGAUUCUGUUAUAUAAAGAAGUUAAAAUAUGUUCGAAUAUUAUUGACAAUUUUUUAGGGCCAUUUUCCUUUUUCAAUUAUGGUAGCGUUUUACAUAACAAUAAAUUUUAAGGCAAUAUAAAGUGUAUUGAUACAAAAAUUCUUAGGAAGGGAGCUAAACAAAAAAUCACACUGGGUUUAAUAUGUUCACAUGUUUUACUCUCUUAUUUUUAUGGUUUCUUAAUUAGUCAUACAUAGCUUACAAGGCUAUUUAAGCUUGUUCGAUAAUAAAUUAAGCAUGAAUGUGUAAGCUUCAAAAAAUUGAUAAAUUCAAUAGAAAACUCCGAGAUUAGUGAACUUUUCACUUUUUGUGUGCAUCUGGAUCUAUCUUAAUAAGCAUGGAUUGGUGAAUCAAUCUAUAUUUUAGAUAUUAUACUUGACAAUUUUGAGGAAGACAAAACUAUUUAUCUAUCCUAUCAUUUUUUUUCUUGGUUUGCGUUAUUAUUAAUAAGAAUUUUUUCAGUUGAUCUUUUUUUCUUAAUCUUAGCAAUGGAAAUAUUAAUUGCUUUAGGUUAGUCUGAUCAAAGAACAACUACCAGCAAGUUGCACUAUAUUUAGCACCAUAAUUGGCAUAAAUUCCUUCUUUUAUUGUCUACUUGAGCUAAAUAUUGAGUAUAUAGAUGCUUCACAUUAUUUCCUUUUAGUUUUCUGGUUUCAGUGUCGAGUAUCUUUUAUUCUAUGGGAGUUGUUUGAUUAUUAACUUCAUUUAAGUUUUAGGAGAUAUAAAUCGUAAUGUAGCUAGAACUAACUAAAAAUAACUAUACCGAUUAAUCUAAUUCUCUUUGUAUCUGAUGAAUAAUAUUUUAAAGAGUACUAAACCUUGGAUAUAAACAAGAACAUAAGUUGUAUCUCCAAGUUUGGUUUAUAAGUAUUGUAAUGGUUUCUUUUCUUAUCAGAGAGACUAUUGGUGCAUUUGAAACCUUAACUUGAAGGCUGAAUAGAAAAGCUCCUUCAACAUUAAUCCAUUGGAGUGGACUGAACUUACUAACUCAAGCAAACCUCCAAUAUAUUGGUGAAAAUGUAUGCUUAAGACAACAUGUGCCGAGAGGCAUUCAGUGAAGUAAAUGUAUCUGCGUCGAGCAGUUGGUACAUGUACCAUUACUUGUACAUUGUUUGUGCAUGUUUCUAAGAUUAUUCAAAUUCAAAGGGUGGCACCUGCCUCUGAUACUGUAAAAAAAGUUAUUAUUAGCUUAGAUCAACGAGAAAGUAAAAAAGCAACGUAGAGUUGUGAGUAAUACAAUUUCAAUGUGUAAUUUUGAUAUAGUUUGAAACGGUAAGUAGGUGUAUAAAAAAUGAGAACCUUCGGUCCACACACUUUAAAUAUAGUUUGUUUGUGUUUGGUAGCUCUCGGAAUCAAAAUGAAAGUCUACAAAUAAUAAAUUCCUUAAAUCCCCUACUUCUAUUUGUAUCCCCUCUACAUCAAGCUUUUUUACCAAAGGACGUCAUGUUUAUCAGUAAACAGAACAAAACGUUAGCGAUAUUGGGCCCGUGUUCAGCACGUGUGUGCCUCAUCUAGUAAACCUAAUAUAAGUCUUCAACUUCAAAUAUGGUAAUUUCAUCUCACGAAUUGAGCCAUUUGAAAUUAUUCUUUUGUUCCCUCAAUCUGCAUUGAUCCAAUUUAUGAAGUAAACAAGUACAUGUAAAGUUCGUCGAGGUAGUUAACUUCUUUCUCUCCAAGUUCCAUUCUUCCUUCAACUAAAUGCACUUUCUAAUGCUAAUAGUUGAUAUUUGAAUCAUUAAGAUAUGUCACGAUUGAUGGACAAAAAGAUACAAACUUACAUUUUUCUUCCACUAUUUUAGAAUAUUAAAAUCAUCCUAAUUAUCGUAAGUAAAAAUUAAGAGUGUUAAGUUCAAAAUAAAAUUUGUGUUUGUGACUAAUAUCUUAUUGAAAAUAUUAAAAGUACCGAAAUAUUUGAAAGAUGGAGUAGCGAUAAUAGUCUAAGAAAUCUUUAAGUGCGUGCGAUAAUGAUGAUAAAGGUUACACUUCAUAAUUUUUUCGAAAUGUUCUCGUGGCAUAAUUUAGUUAAUUCUGAGUUGUUGGGUGGUGACGAUGCAUGUUUGAAGAAUACUAUGGUAGGAAUAAUGUUAAUUGGGCAGUUUGGAUGCUUGCAUGGUUAAAACAGUUGCUUUAUACAUUGUGAGAUCACCUUUAAUAAAUGUCCAAAAUACAUUAUAUUGACUCCAUGACCUGAAAAAUAAGAUAGCCAAUCUGCUGCAACAUAUUAAUUAACACUAAUAGUGUAAAAAUAUUACACUUUCAAACAAUCUGAUUAGUUUUGUUUCUACAGUAGAACCGAAAGUCCAACAUUUAUUCAGAAACGAAGGGCCAAACCACAAUUAAGGUACACAAUCAUUCUUCUUCUACUGCUAAUACAACAACCCAGUAUAAUCCCAUUUAGUGGGGUCUGGGGAGAGUAGUAUGUACGCAGACCUUACCCCUACCCUGGGAGAGAGAGUCUGUUUCCAAAUAGAAACCCGGCAUCCUUCCCUCCAAAAACUUCCCACCUUGCUCUUGGGGAGACUUGAACUCACAACCUCUCGGUUGGAAGUGGGGGUUGCUUACCAUCAGAGCAACCCCUCUUGUCUUUCUACUGCUAAUACAAAGAACAAAAAUCACCUCACCAAUACUGAUACAUCAACUUCAAAGCAAACCAAGUUGAAUACAAACACUACAAACUAGUGUCUGGCUGCAAGUACCUACUCAUUGGCUCCAAGCAGGGUCAUUAGUAACUCCCUGUUGUAACCUGAUGUGUCAUCAGCUACUGCAUAUUCAAGAGUAGUAUUCUUCUUUUUGAAAUAUUCGUCCUUAACUUUGAUCAUAUCAAUUUCAGCUCUAGCUAUAAUUGCUCUAGUUAGAGAAUCCUCAUCAGUUCCUUGCCCAUCAGUGGAUUUUUUUACGACCUGAGAUGCCCAGAUACGGAGGAGAAAAUGAGAGAAAGAUAAUUUAGUCACUGUCAUUAGGUGAUGAACAAUACCAGAUAUCCAGUGGAUAUAAGGAGAUUAUGCUCACAUCAAGAUAAAUUUGUUGGGGCAGGAGGGAGGAGGAGCUCUGCUAAAAAAGGGUAAUAAAGAUUAACAAAAAGAAAGGCAGUCUAACAAGGCAAUCUUUUUUAUGACUAUUUUUGUUACCUCAGCGAAAUGCUUCUGUGGGGAGUCUAUGCACCAAAUAACCACUUUCAAGAUAGACUCCAAAGGACCUUCGCCAGAAUUCAAAAUAUCAUGUGAUAGUAAGUCGGUCCAAGAAGAUAGGAUUAAUUAAAGAGCAAGAAGUAGUGAAACGAAGUUAAUCUGGUGGCUUACAGAUGGCUGACCUGAUAUAUGGAGAAUCCGUAGUUUUGCUCAUACCACCGAAAAGUUGCCUUAAGCUGAUGAAUGUUCCUGCUGCUGAGUAUCAGGAUGAGUUCAUCACUAUCUAAUUGUUUUGUUCUAAUGGCUUCACGAAACUUCGAAGCCUCUAGAUUAGCAGUACUAUGGUCGACCAAUUCCUUGUCAUAUCUGUAGGAACUGACUAUACUAACUAAUACCUGCCCAACAUCGAUUCAAUGCAAAUUCAAACUGGUGCUUGUUAAACCUCACUUCAGAAAAUUUAACAGUGCAAGCUGAUGAUGAAGAAAUACACUAAACAAGAUAACCUAAAAGUGGUUGAGGCUGUACUUCAGCGAGGAAAAUAUCUUAAACAAUGGGUGCAUAUGGUAUGAUGGAAGUCAUUUUCCGAAGAAUAUUUUCUAGUGUUUGGUUGAAGACUGGAAAAAUAAUUUCCAGAGAAAAAAAGACAUUUAUUAAAGAUUUAUAAUGGUAUUAGCAAUCUGGAUAGUAUUUUGACGAAAAUUUUGAGACUGAAGGUUACAUGUCUUAGUGUUGGUUAAAUAAGUGAUGAAAUUAAGAGCUGAGAUAAUGGUGAAGGCUUUGGUGGAAAAUAUUUUCUUGCGACAAACACCAGAAACUGAUCUAUUUGCAGGAAAAUAAAUAUUUUCCCUCAUACCAAACACGCCCAACAUUUAAUAAUUAACAGAAAUAAUGAAUGACGGGCUAGGAAAUGGAAUACUAAACAAAGAAGGUGUUUUUAGGUUGUUAAUAAGAAUUUCGAUGCUAAUGCCCUUUCCAGUUUACAAAUGAGAUAGUACUGUAUUUAGAAACAAACAGACAUUAAACAACAUUUGCUAGAACAUUAUUCAUCUUCAAUUAACAGUAUGUGACUGGAAUCAACGAAAUGAAUUAACCUUUUGGAGAGGAAGAGAGACAUGUGCUAUGAUAUCCUCUUCAAGUGAACAGCCAAAGAGAGCACAAUACGCUUGUCUUACAGCAACUACAUGAUCAGGAGUUGAUGCACAGGCUAUCUCUACUAUCACUUGUAGAUGGGUUUUUUCGUCACGUAUCCAUGAAUUUAAGACCUCAUUUGCAAGCCUCGCGUCUCUUUCAGGAGGAUCAUACGCCCAGAGGAUCACUGCUUUCUAUCAUGCAUCAAACAUGAAAACUAGACAAGUCAAGACUUUUGAGUAUAACUUAUGGCGUUCAAAUUCAGACACUAGAGUUGCUCAUCUGCAGUAAAGAACAGUUAACAACCUUAUCCAUAGGUAAUCCCAUUAACAAAUCUUUCUUCAUUCCUGUUUUUCAUUUUUAAAGUAUCUGAUGAAAAUUGAGAGAACUUUUACAUCCCAAAAUUGGAACCUAUAAUUUUUGAAGGUUCUUCUAUGGAUAUAACAGUUUAGUUCUUUGAAUAUUUGUAGAAUCAAAACUCAAAACUGCAAACUUGUUGUAGCAAGUUAAUUAUAUGCUUCGAUUAAGAAGUGAUUCUAGCUUUACAACACAAACUCAGUAAAAUCCCACAAGUGGGGUUCGGGCAGAGUAGAGUAUACGCAGACCUUACCCCCAACCCGGAGGGAUAGAGAGGCUGUUUCCGAGAGACCCUAAGCUCAAGAAGAGGAAAAUAGACAAUAGAAUCCGUGACAACAACAAAACCAGAAAAAUAACAUUAGCAUCAUACGAAACAAAAAAUAGAUGGAAAAGCAAUAACAGCAACCAGUAAUAAUGCCACAGUACUAUGAAAAAACGGAAAGAUAGUACGGACACAACAUAAACCACUAGCAGUCCAAGACAAAACCCUAACACACUAGCCCCACACCCGGUACAAAGAAGAAAAACACUCCCUCCUAACCUUCAAUCCAGUGCUCGAUCUCCACACCUUCUUAUCAAGAGCUAUAUAGUAAUUUGCCAAGUGACAAAUUUUCCUUCAGAUUCUAAUCCCCUAAUUCAGGUUAUCCAUGAAAAGUAAAGAGACCAAAAUUUGCAGAUGUACCUUGAGGAAUUACUAGGCUCAUAAGCUGAUCCUUUUAAAUUGGGAUUUAUUUAGUAUAAUGGAAUAGAUUUGUUGAGGGAAAAAAGAAUAAUACCUCAAAAUCACCAGAUAAUUCAGAAUGAAGAUCAUCAAUGAGGGAUUUGUCAUAAAGCUGCUGAUAUGCAUGUUUGAUCAUCUUCCUCUCGCUUGCAUUUCUAUGUCCCAACACACUUAUUAUAGCCUUCUCAUCAGUCCCCAGUCCUAAAAAAGACGUAAAAAGAGGGGAAAGAAGAGUUUAAUUUCUACUACUAACAUUUCUUUACACUAUUAUGUCACCUAAUAAACCAUUUCAAGUAAAUGCAACAAGCAAACUGUCACAACAAAUCUACGCAUAUAUUAAUUUACACUGAUAAUAUAAAAACACGGGAAGUUAUGAUGGUAAGUAACCCCACUUCCAAUCGAGAGGUUGUGAGUUCGAGUCUAUGUGGGAAGUUAUUGGAGGGAAGUAUGCUGAGGGUCUAUUGGAAAACAGCCUCUUUACCCCAGGGUAGGAGAAAGGUCUGCGUACACACUACCCUACCCAGACCCCACUAAGUGGAUUAUACUGCGUUGUUUUUAUUGUUAUAGUAUAAAAAGAUGAAAGAGAGCCUUAGAGCAACAAUAAAGUUGUCUCCAUAUGACCUAUAACUAUAUAAGUCACGGGUUCGAGAUGUGAAAUCAGCCACUAAUAUUUGCUUUAGGGUAGACGGCCUAUAUCGCACCUCUUGGCGUGCAGAACUUCGUUGGACACAUUCACCGCCAUUUUUUAGUGUGAAAAGGUAUUUCCCAUUAUGCAAAAAGGACAACAACAGAAGACACGAAAUUCAUCACUAUGACUA